GUCUAUGCCCAUACCACUCUGAAUGUGCCUGAUCUUGUCUGAUCUCUGAAUCUAAGCAGGGUUGGGUCUGGUUAGUGCUUGUAUGGGAGAGAUAAAGGAACCAAAGAGAUUAUUCAGACC
RNAcentral lists this ribosomal RNA (120 nucleotides) under Castor canadensis (American beaver). The record is from RNAcentral. Lineage: Eukaryota; Metazoa; Chordata; Mammalia; Rodentia; Castoridae.